Molecule: long non-coding RNA, 2537 nt
Organism: Amphiprion ocellaris (clown anemonefish)
Lineage: Eukaryota; Metazoa; Chordata; Actinopteri; Pomacentridae
Source: Ensembl
GGUAGGAUUACUGUAAAAUAACAGUGCGCUGCUGGCAACUUUUGCUGCCAGCUCUUUACUGUAAAUUUACAGGGAAAUUUCUUAGUGUGUAGAUGAUGGAGCCGGAGAACCAGAGGUAGAUGAUGGAGGCUGGAGAACCAGAGGUAGAUGAUGGAGGCUGGAGAACCAGAGGUAGAUGAUAGAGGCUGGAGAACCAGAGGUAGAUGAUAGAGGCUGGUGAACCAGAGGUAGAUGAUGGAGCCGGAGAACCAGAGGUAGAUGAUGGAGCCGGAGAACCAGAGGUAGAUGAUGGAGGCUGGAGAACCAGAGGUAGAUGAUGGAGCCGGAGAACCAGAGGUAGAUGAUGGAGGAUGGAGAACCAGUGGUACAUGAUGGAGGCUGGAGAACCAGAGGUAGAUGAUGGAGGUUGGAGAACCAGAGGUAGAUGAUGGAGCCGGAGAACCAGAGGUAGAUGAUAGAGGCUGGAGAACCAGAGGUAGAUGAUGGAGCGGGAGAACCAGUGGUAGAUGAUGGAGGCUGGAGAACCAGAGGUAGAUGAUGGAGGCUGGAGAACCAGUGGUAGAUGAUGGAGGCUGGAGAACCAGAGGUAGAUGAUGGUGGUUGGAGAACCAGAGGUAGAUGAUGGAGCCGGAGAACCAGAGGUAGAUGAUAGAGGCUGGAGAACCAGAGGUAGAUGAUGGAGCCGGAGAACCAGUGGUAGAUGAUGGAGGCUGGAGAACCAGAGGUAGAUGAUGGAGCCUGAGAACCAGUGGUAGAUGAUGGAGCCGGAGAACCAGAGGUAGAUGAUGGAGCAGGAGAACCAGAGGUAGAUGAUGGAGCAGGAGAACCAGAGGUAGAUGAUGGAUCCUGGAGGAGGAGGACCUUCUGGAGGAGCUUCCUUCCUACAGGGAGGAUGGAGCAGCCUGGUGCUGGAGGAGCUGCUGAAGGUCUCCAGUGUGUCCAGGAUGAGGAUGGUUGAAGUCUAUCAAUGAUCUGCAGUGUCUCUGUGUUCAUCAAUACUGCAGAUUGAUUCAUGUAUUGAUCAGUGAUCAGAAAAAUCCCAUCUUUCUCUGGUGACAGAUUCAAAGCUCAGAACCUCCAGAACACUUCAAGUCUCCGUGAAGUCACGUGACCGGCGGACGUGUGGCCCCUCCUCCUCCGUGAGGACGAUGGACAGGUGAGUGUUUACCUGGACACACCUGGGGCCGCCUGCAGCUCAUUGGUGGAUCGGCUGACAGGGAGUUUAAAUGUGGGAUGGUCAGAGUUCUUCCACAUCUCCAGGAUCUUUGAAAGGAACAUGAAGCUGCUGGAGAAACCUGAUCGCUGAUUGGUCACUUAUUGACCACUGAUUGAUCACUUAUUGAUCUCGUAUUGAUCAUUGAUUGGUCACUUAUUGAUCACUGAUUGACAACUGAUUGGUUACUUACUGAUCAAUUAUUGAUCACGUAUUGAUCACUGAUUGGUCACUGAUUGAUCACUUAUUGAUCUAUUAUUGAUCAUUGAUUGGUCAUUGAUUGGUCACUUAUUGAUCACUGAUUGGUCACUGAUCAGUUAUUGAGCACUGAUUGGUCACUGAUUGAUCACUUAUUGAUCUCUUAUUGAUCACUUAUUGAUCAUUGAUUGGUCACUUAUUGAUCACUGAUUGGUCACUUAUUGACCACUGAUUGGUCACUGAUUGAUCACUUAUUGAGCACUGAUUGAUCACCGAUUGGUCACUGAUUGAUCACUUAUUGACCACUUAUUGAUCACUUAUUGAUGAGUUAUUGAUCACUGAUUGGCUGGUUUCCUGGCUGUAGAACCAGGUUCCUCAGCAGUAGCUCCCAUUAAUUCCAGACUGUUUCAGGGUUCUUCCAGACCUGGAGAACAUCUGAGAUUCUAGAUGUUAAAACCAACCUUCUGCUCCAUAGUGAUCAAUAAUAGGUAUUGAUCGGCUCAGCUUCUUAUUCCAUGUUUUCUGGGUUGUUUUCUAACCUUUUUCUCAGCAGUAGAAGCUAGAUAUUUAGCUGCUGUUACUGCUGACCAAGAGGAUAAACUGACUGAUGGAAAACAGUCCAAAGAAUUAGUCUGAUCCUGAUAAUAUGAGGUAGAGUGAGACAUUUAAUCAAGGCUGACGAUGGGAUGAAAAGAUGGAAAAUAGAAGAGAGGACAUAGCUUCGCUCUACACAUUCUUUAGGAACACUGUUGGAUGAUGGAAAUGACAAAAACAAGACAAAACAACAAAAACAAGACAAAAUGACAAAAUCGAGACACAAAACGACAAAAACAAGAUAGAAAAUGAGAAAAACAAGACAGAAAAUGACAAAAACAUCAUCACCAGGUCGUGCUAACAUGUUGUGGGGAAACAUUCCAUGAAUAAUAAUUGUUUUAAAAAUUAUGUUGAUUAAAAAAUGUUUCCACCAUUACAGAAACAUCAAUGAAAAAAGAAAAACCAAAAAAGGGAGAUGUAAAUUCGAUUCUGUUUUAUUAGAGAUCCAGUUUGGUCAUCAGGGGGGUGGACAAGAGAAAAAUGGCAUUUUAGGAGAAACUCCAGACUUAUUUGGAAUUUUUAAAAAUUAAAA